GUGCUCAUUGGUACUCGACAACCUUGCCAAGGUUGAAGUCGAGGGUUCGAAUCCCUUCGCCCGCACCA
This 68-nucleotide transfer RNA is filed under the name Parcubacteria group bacterium. RNAcentral's name for it is "tRNA-Ser". It matches the Rfam family "tRNA". From Rfam's summary of the family: Transfer RNA (tRNA) molecules are approximately 80 nucleotides in length. Their secondary structure includes four short double-helical elements and three loops (D, anti-codon, and T loops). The record is from RNAcentral.